Long non-coding RNA from Nematolebias whitei (Rio pearlfish), 184 nucleotides. RefSeq lists it as uncharacterized. The record is from RefSeq and is a predicted model, not a curated record. Lineage: Eukaryota; Metazoa; Chordata; Actinopteri; Cyprinodontiformes; Rivulidae. The transcript is spliced from 3 exons.
CCCGAUAAAAAUAUUCGUGGCAUCUUGACAAACAACUCUCAAGACCUAAAGUGUCCAACCCCUGGCUGUGAUGGAUCAGGUCACAUCACUGGAAACUACGCCUCCCACAGGAGUCUCUCUGGUUGUCCUCGAGCCAAGAAAAGUGGCAUGAAAAUCCUCCACAGCAAAGAAGAAAACGAUGAGC